Pseudonaja textilis is the source of this 1176-nucleotide non-coding RNA. Lineage: Eukaryota; Metazoa; Chordata; Lepidosauria; Squamata; Elapidae. The record is from RefSeq and is a predicted model, not a curated record.
GAUCUGGGUCGCUUUUAGGCCUGACUUUCGUCUGUCUGAGACAGCUGCAAAUCCCACAAUGGGAUGCUGGGGAUCAACAUUUAAAUUAUCUGGUGGCGGUUGAUUUGUUUUUUUUCUUCCCUGCACCGUUGGGUUUUCUUGACAACUUUUAAUGUUUUGAGAGGGUUAUGUAAUUUGCAGAUCCUUUCCCUAUACCUAUACCUUCCCCCUUUGAAGAUUGGCAUCCAAAGCUAAGCAAUCCUCAAGUUUGUUAAACGUGAGGUUAUUAUAAAGUAGGACUUAUCUUGUUUGUAAUCAGCAUCUGGGUUCAGGCUGCAAAAUUAGGAGCAGAGAUCGGUGCAAAACUGCAAAUCAGGCCAGUGGGCUUCCCUGCGCCCCCCCCCCCCCUGCAGCUGGUGAAGGAGUGGAAAUAUAGUAAAAUCUGAGGCAGAAUUCUCAAUGCAUAUUUUGUAGGAUUUUAUAUUUCUUCACAGACAAGUCAAGAUAGGGACAUUUCAGGAAGGUUCAUUACCCUUUAUUUUUAAUCUUAAAACUUUGCUCUCUCUUUGUGCCUUUAGAGGGAAAAAAAACUAGGCUUGUGAAUCUGUAAUUUGAACUGUCAUCCAUUUAGAGUAUGCCUAUGAUUGAUUGAUAGGGUGGAAAAUUCCAUGAAACUGACAUUUAUUUUCUUUUCCAGUAGACUGACAUUACUACGGUGUUCAUAAUGUGUAAUUUCCUGUCCAGCAAUCUCACAGAAGGAUAUCAAUUUUUUUCGACAUUUUGAUGAUAAUCCCCAGUAACAAGACCAUGUUAUACCCUAUGAAAUAUCUCUUCUGGAGUCAGUUGAGAUUGCGGAUUCCAAGAUGCCGUAUUAAGAAGAAGGUAAACCAGGAAUCUCCUUCCUUUCUCCACAAGAGCAUUGCCAAGAUACAUCGGAACAAGAGACUCUUCAUCAAACUCAGGUUCUUAAAAUGUGGGUCAUUAGAGCAAAUACGAGUUGGAACACGGAACAGAAAGCAUCCCUAGACAUUAUUAGAAUAACUCUGCUUUGCAAUGCCCAUUGUAAUUUCUUAGCAGAAAAACACAUCAAAUGCAAACGUACACUGGGAAUCUAAACAAGUGCAAGGUCCUACAAGCCUGAUAACAUUAAAAAACACAUGCAUGUAUUUAGAAUAGAAUAGAAUAGAAUAGAAUAGA